This 497-nucleotide ribosomal RNA is filed under the name uncultured bacterium. RNAcentral's name for it is "partial 16S ribosomal RNA". It matches the Rfam family "Bacterial small subunit ribosomal RNA", at positions 28 to 507 of the family's 1533-position model. The record is from RNAcentral.
GAUGAACGCUGGCGGCGUGCCUAAUACAUGCAAGUCGAGCGAACGGACGAGAAGCUUGCUUCUCUGAUGUUAGCGGCGGACGGGUGAGUAACACGUGGAUAACCUACCUAUAAGACUGGGAUAACUUCGGGAAACCGGAGCUAAUACCGGAUAAUAUUUUGAACCGCAUGGUUCAAAAGUGAAAGACGGUCUUUCUGUCACUUAUAGAUGGAUCCGCGCUGCAUUAUCUAGUUGGUAAGGUAACGGCUUACCAAGGCAACGAUGCAUAGCCGACCUGAGAGGGUGAUCGGCCACACUGGAACUGAGACACGGUCCAGACUCCUACGGGAGGCAGCAGUAGGGAAUCUUCCGCAAUGGGCGAAAGCCUGACGGAGCAACGCCGCGUGAGUGAUGAAGGUCUUCGGAUCGUAAAACUCUGUUAUUAGGGAAGAACAUAUGUGUAAGUAACUGUGCACAUCUUGACGGUACCUAAUCAGAAAGCCACGGCUAACUACGUG